UACACUUUAAAUCCUUUAACGAGGAUCUAUUGGAGGGCAAGUCUGGUGCCAGCAGCCGCGGUAAUUCCAGCUCCAAUAGCGUAUAUUAUUAUUGUUGCGGUUAAAAAGCUCGUAGUUGGAUCUCGGUUUCGGGCGAGCGGUGUACCUUGCGGUAUUUACUGUUUGCCCGGACGAUUUUGUUGGUUCGUUUAUGGUUCUCUUAACCGAGUGCCAUAAGUGGCCAGCACGUUUACUUUGAAAAAAUUGGAGUGCUCAAAGCAGGCGCUACAGCCUGAACAUUAGUGCAUGGAAUAAUGGAAUAGGAUCUCGGUUCUAUUUCGUUGGCUUUCGGAGUCGAGGUAAUGAUUAAUAGGGACAGACGGGGGCAUUCGUACUGCGACGUUAGAGGUGAAAUUCUUGGAUCGUCGCAAGACGAACUACUGCGAAAGCAUUUGCCAAGAAUGUAUUCAUUAAUCAAGAACGAAAGUCAGAGGUUCGAAGGCGAUCAGAUACCGCCCUAGUUCUAACCAUAAACGAUGUCGACCGGCGAUCCGUUAUCGUUAACUGAAUGACUUAACGGGCAGCCUCCGGGAAACCAGAGUGUUUGGAUUCCGGGGGAAGUAUGGUUGCAAAGCUGAAACUUAAAAGAAUUGACGGAAGGGCACCACCAGGAGUGGAGCCUGCGGCUUAAUUUGACCCAACACGGGAAAUCUCACCAGGCCCGGACACCGGAAGGAUUGACAGAUUGAGAGCUCUUUCUUGAUUCGGUGGGUGGUGGUGCAUGGCCGUUCUUAGUUGGUGGAGCGAUUUGUCUGGUUAAUUCCGAUAACGAACGAGACUCUGGCCUACUAACUAGACGUUAGAUCCCUUUGUGGGUCUAUCGCAGCUUCUUAGAGGGACGGGCGGCGUUUAGCCGCACGAGAUUGAGCAAUAACAGGUCUGUGAUGCCCUUAGAUGUUCUGGGCUGCACGCGCGCUACACUGAAGGAAUCAGCGUGUGUUCCCUACCCGAAAGGGUUGGGAAACCCGUUGAACCUCCUUCGUGAUGGGGAUUGGGGAUUGCAAUUAUUCCCCAUGAACGAGGAAUUCCCAGUAGGCGCGAGUCAUAAGCUUGCGUCGAUUACGUCCCGGCCCUUUGUACACACCGCCCGUCGCUACUACCGAUCGAGUGAUUUAGUGAGGCCUUCGGACUGGUCUUCAGUAUGGCUUUCGGGUCGUGUUGGAGUACCGGAAAGAUGACCAAACUUGAUCACUUAGAGGAAGUAAAAGUC
RNAcentral lists this ribosomal RNA (1249 nucleotides) under metagenome. Its description in RNAcentral is "SSU rRNA". It matches the Rfam family "Eukaryotic small subunit ribosomal RNA", at positions 519 to 1790 of the family's 1831-position model. The record is from RNAcentral.